AUUUAUGUCUAACAAGGUUUUCCUCAUAAUUGCAACUUAUUCCAGGUAUGUCUUCAUUUAUGCUAGACUGAUGAAUUAAUGAAUGGAAUCUCACACAGGAAUAUUAUUUUCAUUAUUACAGAAAAAUAGUUCCUGUGAGUAAACUUUCUUCUCUUUAACACAUGUUUAUGUUUGAAGUGUUACACUGUGACUGGAAUCAAGACCCCAAUACCACUUCCUUCUUUAUUGGGCUGUACAUGUAAUUCUCUAUUUUAGGGUGUAAAUUCCGUUUGUCGCUGCCACCCGGUCAUUUUUGAUGAACAGGUGCAUGCUAGAACAAGUAUAUAAAUCAUGGAAAUUGUCAAAAUUUUAACACCACUAAACGUUAACAUUGUCUCUUGUGGAAAAUUAGUGUGGGUAAAAUUCCGGCUACAGACAAGGAUUAUGUACAUCCGGGUUACAGCCAGCCGGAGUUGCAUGUUAACCCCUGUCAGUCUGUGUAAACUAAACAGUUUGUUCAGUCUUACUGGGGCGUUCUACUCUCUGUGUAUGUCAACCUCUCGUACAUAGUUGUAUGUAAGUGUGUCACACAAGCCUUGUAACGCCCAGACGAGAAAAAAAGGCACACAAAAAAGUGUCCCACUUAAAUUCUGAUACACAGAGCUAGGCCUACGCAGUAGACAGCCCAGCUCUCCUCCCUUUCCCUGUACAUCACGAAGUAUACUCAUUCCGCUAACGAAGUCGUCAACAUGUUAUGUGUGACGGAAAAGUCACUGUAUCAGACCGUUCAAGUACUCAGUUGUCCGUUUGCUCAUGUCAACUCACCCGUGUUCAGAGCCGUGGUGUAAUCUGUCCAUGCACUUCAUCGAGACACUUUUCCAGCUUGAUUCGCCCCAGUUUUAUCUUUCGUUUCGUGAGGCCCUGUGCUGAGUUUCAUCAAGUUGUGAUUGGUUUCGUGAGGUAGUGCUGACUUUCAUUAAGUUGUGAUCUGUUUCGUCUCGCUCUACUGAGUUUUCUCAAUUUGUUUUCAGUUUUGUCAAGCUGUGCUGAUUUUUUUUCAAGACAUGCCCGGUUUCGUUCAGCUGUGAGGAGUUGUCGUCGUUGUAGAGAGUGUCGUGAAGUUGUGUUCGAUUUCGAGUUCGAGUUUUAUGAAUUCACGUCCGGUUUCUGGAAGGUGUAUUCAGUUCUAUCAAACGGUUUCUUCAGGUUGCGUUAAGUGUCAAGACCUUCUGAGCUUUUCCCUGGUGUGAAUGUCAAGCUCACGUCCGCUUCUUCAUCAUAUUUAUGCGCCUCCUGCACUUGUGCCCUCUUCAGCUAAUGGGCAUUCAUGAUUUCAUCCCAGAGUUUUCAGUUCCACCAAAUGUCCACAGUUUUGGUUUCGUCAUGUUAAUUCAGAUUUCAUCCAAGUGUUUACAGUUUCAUCGAAUACAUAUAGUUCUGGUUUUGCCAUGUUAAUCCUGAUUUCACCCAAGUGUAUACAGUAUCAUCAAAUGUACGUAGUUCUGGUUUCGUCACGUUAAUCCAGAUUUCAUCCAAGUGUUUACAGUUUCAUCGAAUACAUAUAGUUCUUGUUUUGCCAUGUUAAUCCUGAUUUCAUCCAAGUGUAUACAGUAUCAUCAAAUGUACGUAGUUCUGGUUUCGUCACGUUAAUCCUGAUUUCAUCCAAGUGUUUACAGUUUCAUCAAAUGUACAUACGUCUGGUUUUGCCAUGUUAAUCCUGAUUUUAUCUAAAUAUAUACAGUAUCAUCAAAUGUACAUAGUUCUGGUUUCGUCACGUGAAUCGUGGUAUGUUUCAUCGACAGCAGGUGAAUAGCAGUUGCACGAGCAUUGUGUUACUGCUUAUGCUAUCUGAAUGUGUCUGUGUCUCUUGUUUCACCGAUCUCUUGCUAGUUUCACUGCCUUCAUGUAGUUUCCCCAACCUCUUGGCCGUUUAAUUAAUCUCUUUAUAUAUUCACCGUCCCAUUCCCAGUUUAACUGUCCUCUUCCCAGUUUCGCUGUCUUCAUGGUAGUUUUACCAACUUCUUUUCCGUUUCAUCGAUCUUUUUAUAGAUCCUCAUCCGAGUUUCACCGCCCUCAGGUUCACCUCCACUUUUCCUGCAUGCGCAUGGCUAGACAGGUGUGAGCGACAAUGACUUGUUCAUUCUAUACACACGGAGCUUAUGUCUACUUUAGGUCAAAUAAUAGCCCGUUUUCGGGCUGGUUUGUCUGCCUCAGUUUGUCUUUUCUGGUCAUCGCGCAGGCUGUUCAAGGUGUGGCCCCCACCCUAAACAACGCGGGAUGUCACAGUACCGUAUCAGUCUUAAAACUAGUAAACGUUACCACAGCGGAAGCCGUGGUGAAGUCGUACAGCGUAAGGCAGUCCGUGUCGUGUGGACUAUGGAGUCUAGGACGUUGUACCCGAUACAGUCUACAGUACAGAAUUGUUUACGAGACCAAACUGAGGCUGCGCACAGAGACUCACUACAGUAAGUCAUGCUGUCCAGGCUGGAAGGGAGACAACUGUGAUAUAGGUACAACGACAUAUGGGACAACAAAAACAACAACAACAACCACAACAAUGCCACCAACAACAAGAACAACACCUCCACGAACAACAAGAACAAUACCACCAAUACUGACAACAAGAACAGUACCACCAACACUAACAACAAGAACAGUACCACCAAUACUAACAACAAGACCAACACAACGGCAAACAACAGAUAUAAGAAGAACAUCCCCGCUAACAACAACACCCAUACAAACACUGCCAGCAAGUACAGUAGGUCCAUGGCCGACACAAAGAACCACGUCAUCACUGCCCCUCCAAAACCUCAUUCCCCUUGACCUGGACUCAAGCUGCAACAACUUCGACUUUGACUGAUAAAGUAACAACGUGGACAACCUUGUCAACCUUCCAGUCAUCUGAAUCAACACCAACAACGCCUUCAUCUGUUUGUGGCGUCGAGACACCGAAAUCCCAGGUACUGUCACACGACCAAAAUCUGCAGGCAGUUCCAGCCAACAUAACCUUCGUUUGUCAAGUCCUGUUUUUUUACCACCGCGAAAAGCAACCGACGGAAAUCGUCUGGCUGGUUAAUGGUGUGCCUGUCACGACACUGUUCGAGGUGGACAUCAUGGAGGGCUUGGGAGAGAGCAUAGCUGGAGAAAGAGUUAGAGGCAUUCGAGUAAUUUCCAUCCUCACGGUUGUGAACGCUUCUGUCUGUAUGGCAGGGGAGUAUGUGUGCCAGGCCAGGGUGGGGCAGUGCAAACACAACAACAGUGUCUAUCUGGGAUGUCCUAAAUUCCCCAGCUUUUCACAUACACAGUAUAACUUUGGAAACAGUUGUUGCCCAGAGAUAGUACCAGUGAAAAUGCAAUCGAUUCCCCUAUCCACCCCAAUCAAUAUUGCAGCUCCCGCUGUCCUGGCUGGUCUCUUGGCUCUUGUCGCGAUAGUUUUGCCAAUUGUCGUCUAUAAACGCAGUCGCGCCAUUCAAAUUUGGUUCAAGUACUGGUUUGGAGCUUUUGAGGACGACGAUGGCAAAUUGUACGACGUCUACGUAUCCUUUGACAUUGAGGACCAGACCGUUUUACGUUUUGUCCUGUGUAACAUUCGGGAGUUUUUGCAACAAAAUGACUACACGGCUUUCGUGUUUCCUGUGGACUCCCAGCCAGGGAUGAGCACGGUUCCUAACGUCGACGGGGCUUAGCAAAACAUCCACAUAAAUUAGAUGGAGACCUGCGCAGCGAAAGGAACCUUACAAAUGAAAGUUAAUUGGGCACUAAUGCAAAUCACCAAACACAAGCGGUUUACACCCUUAACCGCAAGUCUGACAAUAUAGUAGAAGCCAUGAAUCAGUGCCGACGAGUGAUGGUCAUUUUUAGCCAGAGUUAUCGUUCUUGUGAGUGGUGCCGCUUUGAAUUCCUAACAGCUCAAAGACUGUUCAUUGGCGAACGUUUGAAGAUUAUACCUGUUCUUCUUGGAGAAACCAACAAACGUAUUUUAAAAGACGACGAUUUUUCAACUGUGCUGAAAUUUAUCCCAUCCAUCCACAUGUCUACAGACUGUGAAAGUCCACUUUCACCCUCAGCAUCGAAACAGUUAAAACUGCGCAUGCCCAGAAAACGAAGAAAAGAAGCAUGCCGUAGGAGCUGCAGUAUGGAGCUACGAACUUGUAGGUUGCAGUCAUAACAUUUUGUCUGGAGAACAAUACUCUGCACCUACCCUACUAUAGCUAGAGACCCAAUCAAUAAAGACCGAAACAAUAAACCCAAUCAAUAAAGACCAUGAAUGUAUCCACCGGACGACGUUUCAUCCUUAAUAGCUGAAGACUGAAGUCUUGCAGAAACAAACUUUGUUCUUUCUCGGCUAAAAUAUGUCGCUCGUUUAAAAGCAAGCAUAACCUGCACUGAUUUGCUGUUCGAUGUAUUUAUGUAUAUAUGUAUGCUUGGGGUUUAACUUCGACUCGGAAAUGCUUUUUCAGUCCUAUUGAUAUUUCAAAACUACGGAACACUUAGCUAAUGUAUGGUACGAUUGUUAACCCUAGAAUGUGCUCUCAUAACCUUGCCGGUUUGCUCCCCCCCACCCCCCACCCCCAUCCCACCAAAUAAUAAAUGCCGUCCCAAUUCAGGAACUAAUAAUCCACAGCACACGCUAGACACCGAAUUACUUGGAGUCAAAACCAACAUUCCAAUACCAAUAAUGGAUGCUCCACACCAAUUUCCAAAACAACGAUCAACACAAGAAAACUAGGAUGGAUUCAUGUAAGGAGAAAUACAGAAGCAGUUUCAGCGGUGCCUGACUCAUUUGCCAUGGACAUUAGCCUUUAUUGAUGUAAUUUUGGGUGAACCUUCUACUUACCAUUGUUCACACUUGUUGCAUGAAAACAUUUCACCUUUGACGAGGACUUUCUCGAAGAAAAUGUACUUACUCAUUUCCUUUCUGACCAUCUCCACCGGGACCAUUUAAUGGCUGUCAUGAAACAGUCGAUUAAACAUGACGCAAGAAGGGCUGCCCCAAUUACGUGGGUCUAAAUAAAAUGGAAAUGGCGGGUCAAAAACAAGGAGUAUUUUUAUGUGAUUUGAAUGAAUGCUUGGGUUUAACGUCAUACUUAACAAUAUUUC
This is an RNA transcript of Liolophura sinensis, 5082 nucleotides long. It is a transcript of the gene named single Ig IL-1-related receptor-like, with no coding region annotated. The transcript has 8 exons. The record is from RefSeq and is a predicted model, not a curated record. NCBI's taxonomy places the organism in Eukaryota, Metazoa, Mollusca, Polyplacophora, Chitonida, Chitonidae.